CCUACGGGAGGCAGCAGUGGGGAAUAUUGGACAAUGGGGGAAAGCCUGAUCCAGCCAUGCCGCGUGAGUGAUGAAGGCCUUAGGGUUGUAAAGCUCUUUCGUGAGGGAAGAUAAUGACGGUACCUCUAGAAGAAGC
Molecule: ribosomal RNA, 136 nt
Filed under: uncultured alpha proteobacterium GT20-2
Lineage: Bacteria; Pseudomonadati; Pseudomonadota; Alphaproteobacteria
Description: partial 16S ribosomal RNA
Rfam family: Bacterial small subunit ribosomal RNA
Source: RNAcentral